This is a non-coding RNA of Oryza punctata, 207 nucleotides long. The record is from Rfam. NCBI's taxonomy places the organism in Eukaryota, Viridiplantae, Streptophyta, Magnoliopsida, Poales, Poaceae.
AAAGAAUGCAGUUUUGCAUUUUUUCCACCUAACGUUUGACCUAUUCGUCUUAUUGAAAAUUAUUUUUAUGAUUGGUAUUUUUAUUGUUAUUAUAUGAUAAAACAUGAAUUGUGCUUUAAAUGUGACUAACUUUUUUUAUUUUUUAUAAACUUUCAAACGAAACGGAUGAUCAAAUGUUGGAUACGGAAACCCACAACUACACUUAAU